RNAcentral lists this ribosomal RNA (446 nucleotides) under uncultured bacterium. Its description in RNAcentral is "SSU rRNA". It matches the Rfam family "Bacterial small subunit ribosomal RNA", at positions 26 to 518 of the family's 1533-position model. The record is from RNAcentral.
AGAGCGAACGCUGGCGGCAGGCCUAACACAUGCAAGUCGAACGCACCUUCGGGUGAGUGGCGGACGGGUGAGUAACACGUGGGAACGUACCUUUUGGUUCGGAAUAACGCAGGGAAACUUGCGCUAAUACCGAAUGUGCUCCGUAAGGAGGAAAGAUUUAUCGCCAUUAGAGCGGCCCGCGUUAGAUUAGCUAGUUGGUGAGGUAAAGGCUCACCAAGGCUACGAUCUAUAGCUGGUCUGAGAGGAUGAUCAGCCACAUUGGGACUGAGACACGGCCCAAACUCCUACGGGAGGCAGCAGUGGGGAAUCUUGCGCAAUGGGCGAAAGCCUGACGCAGCCAUGCCGCGUGAAUGAUGAAGGUCUUAGGAUUGUAAAAUUCUUUCAGUAGGGACGAUAAUGACGGUACCUACAGAAGAAGCCCCGGCUAACUUCGUGCCAGCAGCCGC